AACCUACGGGAGGCAGCAGUAGGGAAUAUUGCUCAAUGGGGGAAACCCUGAAGCAGCAACGCCGCGUGGAGGAUGAAGGUUUUAGGAUUGUAAAAUUCUGUUAUAAGGGAAGAAAGGUGAUAGGAGGAAAUGACUAUCAAUUGACGGUACCUUAUGAGAAAGCCACGGCUAACUACGUGCCAGCAGCCGCGGUAAUACGUAGGUGGCAAGCGUUAUCCGGAAUUAUUGGGCGUAAAGAGCGCGCAGGUGGUUAAUUAAGUCUGAUGUGAAAGCCCACGGCUUAACCGUGGAGGGUCAUUGGAAAC
RNAcentral lists this ribosomal RNA (305 nucleotides) under uncultured bacterium. RNAcentral describes it as "bacterial SSU rRNA". It matches the Rfam family "Bacterial small subunit ribosomal RNA", at positions 335 to 633 of the family's 1533-position model. The record is from RNAcentral.